RNAcentral lists this non-coding RNA (94 nucleotides) under Aquipseudomonas alcaligenes OT 69. Its description in RNAcentral is "ivy-DE RNA". It matches the Rfam family "ivy-DE RNA". The record is from RNAcentral. Lineage: Bacteria; Pseudomonadati; Pseudomonadota; Gammaproteobacteria; Pseudomonadales; Pseudomonadaceae.
UGACCAUGGGGCCGGGUUGUUCCGCGUCGGUAGAGCGGCAUGACCUAGGGGUAAAGGGGUUACCUCCGCGAACGCGGGCCGGGUCAGGCGAAGC